RNAcentral lists this transfer RNA (76 nucleotides) under Pseudomonadota bacterium. Its description in RNAcentral is "tRNA-Ala". It matches the Rfam family "tRNA". From Rfam's summary of the family: Transfer RNA (tRNA) molecules are approximately 80 nucleotides in length. Their secondary structure includes four short double-helical elements and three loops (D, anti-codon, and T loops). RNAcentral also lists the same sequence under 3 other names. Lineage: Bacteria; Pseudomonadati; Pseudomonadota. The record is from RNAcentral.
GGGGCCAUAGCUCAGCUGGUAGAGCGCUACAAUGGCAUUGUAGAGGCCGCCGGUUCGACUCCGGCUGGCUCCACCA